UGGGGAAUAUUGCACAAUGGGCGCAAGCCUGAUGCAGCCAUGCCGCGUGUGUGAAGAAGGCCUUCGGGUUGUAAAGCACUUUCAGCGAGGAGGAAGGUGGUGAGCUUAAUACGCUCAUCAAUUGACGUUACUCGCAGAAGAAGCACCGGCUAACUCCGUGCCAGCAGCCGCGGUAAUACGGAGGGUGCAAGCGUUAAUCGGAAUUACUGGGCGUAAAGCGCACGCAGGCGGUUUGUUAAGUCAGAUGUGAAAUCCCCGGGCUCAACCUGGGAACUGCAUUUGAAACUGGCAAGCUAGAGUCUCGUAGAGGGGGGUAGAAUUCCAGGUGUAGCGGUGAAAUGCGUAGAGAUCUGGAGGAAUACCGGUGGCGAAGGCGGCCCCCCUGGACGAAGACUGACGCUCAGGUGCGAAAGCGUGGGGCAGCAAACAGGAUUAGAUACCCUGGUAGUCCACGCUGUAAACGAUGUCGAUUUUGGAGGUUGUGCCCUUGAGGCGUGGCUUCCGGAGCUAACGCGUUAAAUCGACCGCCUGGGGAGUACGGCCGCAAGGUU
RNAcentral lists this ribosomal RNA (551 nucleotides) under uncultured bacterium. RNAcentral describes it as "partial 16S ribosomal RNA". It matches the Rfam family "Bacterial small subunit ribosomal RNA", at positions 355 to 895 of the family's 1533-position model. The record is from RNAcentral.